CCAAUAGCGUAUAUUAAAGUUGUUGCAGUUAAAAAGCUCGUAGUUGAACCUCGGGAUCAAUGGAUCGGUCAUGCCAUCGGUAUGUACUGGUCUCAUUGGUUCUCACCUUCUAAGGAACCAUGAUGUCAUUCAGUUGAUGUUGUGGGGAAUUAGGACUGUUACCUUGAAAAAAUUAGAGUGUUUAAAGCAGGCUAACGCUUGAAUACAUUAGCAUGGAAUAAUGAAAUAGGACAUCGCAUUCUAUUUUGUUGGUUUCUAGGAUCGAUGUAAUGAUUAAUAGGGAUAGUUGGGGGCAUUAGUAUUCAAUUGUCAGAGGUGAAAUUCUUGGAUUUAUUGAAGACUAACUACUGCGAAAGCAUUUGCCAAGGAUGUUUUCAUUAAUCAAGAACGAAAGUUAGGGGAUCGAAGACGAUCAGAUACCGUCGUAGUCUUAACCAUAAACUAUGCCGACUAGGGAUCGGAUGAUGUUGAUUUUUUAAUGACUCAUUCGGCACCUUACG
RNAcentral lists this ribosomal RNA (500 nucleotides) under uncultured Glomeromycotina. RNAcentral describes it as "partial small subunit ribosomal RNA". It matches the Rfam family "Eukaryotic small subunit ribosomal RNA", at positions 591 to 1092 of the family's 1831-position model. The record is from RNAcentral. Lineage: Eukaryota; Fungi; Glomeromycota.